CAGUGGAACCACAACUCAUACAACUCGGUGGAACACUGAAGGCUCGUCACGAAACAAUCGAGAGGAUGUCCUGUCCACAUAGCCUCGGUUAUCACUUCGCCUCAGCCAACAAGUGCUCGGCACAUUUGCUCACUUUACCCUUUCACAUUAUCACUUCAUCAGAAUCCGCAAUGCUUACUCUAAGGCGGGCACACAAUCGGAAAAAU
Molecule: long non-coding RNA, 206 nt
Filed under: Olea europaea (common olive)
Lineage: Eukaryota; Viridiplantae; Streptophyta; Magnoliopsida; Lamiales; Oleaceae
Description: long non-coding RNA (OEUR_LNC012501)
Source: RNAcentral